UCCCGCACUGCCCAUUCCUGUGGCUCCAUCAUCUCGGGAGGCAGCACCAAGUCUGGAUUAUAAAGGCAGAUUAGAUUGUGUCAAUCAAACAAGAUGACAGUAAAUAUGGCAGCUCAAAGUGGGAUUUAAUACCCCGUUUUAUUUUGAGGGUGCGCUAUUCUUUUAAGGUGAGAAACUAAGGCAAAGACGGGUUAAAUGUCUGAUGUCCGAUGCCGCUCUGUGGAGAUCUGCAAUCCCUCCCUACUCUGGCAGUGUGAAGCGGAGUGCUGUUCUGUUCACUAUGCAGCUCUAGCAUCUCCUUCCUCCUCCUGCUUCCCUUCCACACCCACCCACUGGGUAACCCCACUCUCCUCACAGACCUGCCCCUAGAAUCACACCUAAGUCAUCUGAAACCUACAUGUAAUCCAACAACAACAAAAGUCAUUAACACUGAGGGUGAAAAAUUAACUACUGAAUGACACACUCAGAGUUCACAGCUUGAACGGUCUUACUAGAAAUCAGUAAAAACUAAAAUUUUAA
Suricata suricatta (meerkat) is the source of this 519-nucleotide long non-coding RNA. RefSeq lists it as uncharacterized. The transcript has 2 exons. NCBI's taxonomy places the organism in Eukaryota, Metazoa, Chordata, Mammalia, Carnivora, Herpestidae. The record is from RefSeq and is a predicted model, not a curated record.